Molecule: ribosomal RNA, 253 nt
Filed under: uncultured bacterium
Lineage: Bacteria
Description: partial 16S ribosomal RNA
Rfam family: Bacterial small subunit ribosomal RNA
Source: RNAcentral
UACGUAGGUGGCAAGCGUUGUCCGGAUUUACUGGGCGUAAAGAGCGUGUAGGCGGUCCGGUAAGUCCGCUGUGAAAGUCGGGGGCUCAACCCUCGAAUGCCGGUGGAUACUGUCGGGCUAGAGUGCGGAAGAGGCGAGUGGAAUUCCUGGUGUAGCGGUGAAAUGCGUAGAUAUCGGGAGGAACACCUGUGGCGAAAGCGGCUCACUGGACCACAACUGACGCUGAUGCGCGAAAGCUAGGGGAGCAAACAGG